GGGCCCUUAAUACAUUAUGAAAAUUUUAAGCAAAUGAGUACUUUUUUCACCUCACCAAGAAUUAAAAUAGAGAAAAACAUAGUUCAAAGUCAAUUAAACUUUAGAUGUUCCUUGUGAAGGCAUAGGCAUUACUAACAAAAACAUAAACUUAAGGCGACGAAUAACUUCUUGUGGAUGGGACGAUGAUGAAGAAGACUCUGCAUUUGAUCAGGCAUUGGAUGUCGAUUUUGGAGAUGGAUGAUUUUGACGAGUAAGAUUUAUCAUUCUUCUGUUGCUAUUCUAAUUGUUUUUUAGGUACAGCUUUCGCUUCUACUUCAUGUUUUCCUAUUCACAACAUCUGUGUAUCAGUUUUUUUCCAUCUUUAUUGAAUAUCUGUCGACCGACAUGUAUCCAUAUCGCCUGCUUGUACUCAUUCAAUUUUAUAUUUA
RNAcentral lists this long non-coding RNA (428 nucleotides) under Capsicum annuum. Its description in RNAcentral is "long non-coding RNA (CANN_LNC011790)". Lineage: Eukaryota; Viridiplantae; Streptophyta; Magnoliopsida; Solanales; Solanaceae. The record is from RNAcentral.